RNAcentral lists this non-coding RNA (27 nucleotides) under Homo sapiens (human). Lineage: Eukaryota; Metazoa; Chordata; Mammalia; Primates; Hominidae. The record is from RNAcentral.
AAGACAUGGGCUGUGUCAACUCAGGGU